GCAAGCGUGGUUUAUUUAGAACGUAACACUGAAAAUGUUGAGAUGGGCCUUAGAAAGCUCCGCAAGCA
RNAcentral lists this transfer RNA (68 nucleotides) under Trematomus eulepidotus (blunt scalyhead). RNAcentral describes it as "tRNA-Phe". It matches the Rfam family "tRNA". Rfam says of the family: Transfer RNA (tRNA) molecules are approximately 80 nucleotides in length. Their secondary structure includes four short double-helical elements and three loops (D, anti-codon, and T loops). The record is from RNAcentral. Lineage: Eukaryota; Metazoa; Chordata; Actinopteri; Perciformes; Nototheniidae. RNAcentral also lists the same sequence under 5 other names.